RNAcentral lists this ribosomal RNA (433 nucleotides) under uncultured bacterium. RNAcentral describes it as "bacterial SSU rRNA". It matches the Rfam family "Bacterial small subunit ribosomal RNA", at positions 64 to 524 of the family's 1533-position model. The record is from RNAcentral.
GAACGAAGUAGCAAUACUUAGUGGCAGACGGGUGAGUAACACGUGGUCAACCUACCUCAGUGUGGGGGAUAACUAGCCGAAAGGUUAGCUAAUACCGCAUACGAUCGUCGAGCGGCAUCGCUUGACGAUGAAAGGAGCAAUCCGCACAGAGAGGGGACUGCGUCCCAUUAGUUAGUUGGUGGGGUAACGGCCUACCAAGACUCCGAUGGGUAGCUGGCUUGAGAGAGCGACCAGCCACACUGGAACUGAGACACGGUCCAGACUCCUACGGGAGGCAGCAGUGAGGAAUUUUCCGCAAUGGGGGAAACCCUGACGGAGCGACGUCGCGUGUGGGAAGAAGGCCUUCGGGUCGUAAACCACUGUCGAAGGGGACGAUAUUGACGGUACCCUUGGAGGAAGCCCCGGCUAACUACGUGCCAGCAGCCGCGGUAAU